This 586-nucleotide ribosomal RNA is filed under the name Rhinella granulosa (granular toad). RNAcentral describes it as "partial large subunit ribosomal RNA". It matches the Rfam family "Bacterial large subunit ribosomal RNA", at positions 1812 to 2608 of the family's 2925-position model. The record is from RNAcentral. Lineage: Eukaryota; Metazoa; Chordata; Amphibia; Anura; Bufonidae.
AACAUCGCCUCUUGAUUUCUAAUAAGAGGUCCAGCCUGCCCAGUGACCAUGUUCAACGGCCGCGGUAUCCUAACCGUGCGAAGGUAGCGUAAUCACUUGUUCUUUAAAUGUGGACUAGUAUGAACGGCUUCACGAAGGUUAUACUGUCUCCUUUUUCUAAUCAGUGAAACUAAUCUCCCCGUGAAGAAGCGGGGAUAAAGCUAUAAGACGAGAAGACCCUAUGGAGCUUAAAACUACACAGCACUUACCAAANAAUUUUUAAUGUUUCUGUANACACUNAAUUCUUUAAAGUAAAAUGACUGCAAGUUUUCGGUUGGGGUGACCACGGAGUAUAUCAUAACCUCCAUGUUGAAAGAAUUUCUCUCUAAGCCAAGAAUAACCAAUCUAAGCAUUAACAAAUUAACAUCUAUUGACCCAAUAAAUUUGAUCAACGAACCAAGUUACCCUAGGGAUAACAGCGCAAUCCACUUCAAGAGCUCCUAUCGACAAGUGGGUUUACGACCUCGAUGUUGGAUCAGGGUAUCCCAGUGGUGCAGCCGCUACUAAAGGUUCGUUUGUUCAACGAUUAAAACCCUACGUGAUCUGA